RNAcentral lists this ribosomal RNA (743 nucleotides) under uncultured bacterium. RNAcentral describes it as "bacterial SSU rRNA". It matches the Rfam family "Bacterial small subunit ribosomal RNA", at positions 94 to 823 of the family's 1533-position model. The record is from RNAcentral.
AGCGGCGGAUGGGUGAGUAACACGCGGGGAACCUGCCCCUAAGUCUGGGAUACCAUUUGGAAACAGGUGCUAAUACCGGAUAAUAAAGCAGAUCGCAUGAUCAGCUUUUGAAAGGCGGCGUAAGCUGUCGCUAAGGGAUGGCCCCGCGGUGCAUUAGCUAGUUGGUAAGGUAACGGCUUACCAAGGCGACGAUGCAUAGCCGAGUUGAGAGACUGAUCGGCCACAUUGGGACUGAGACACGGCCCAAACUCCUACGGGAGGCAGCAGUAGGGAAUCUUCCACAAUGGACGCAAGUCUGAUGGAGCAACGCCGCGUGAGUGAAGAAGGUUUUCGGAUCGUAAAGCUCUGUUGUUGGUGAAGAAGGAUAGAGGUAGUAACUGGCCUUUAUUUGACGGUAAUCAACCAGAAAGUCACGGCUAACUACGUGCCAGCAGCCGCGGUAAUACGUAGGUGGCAAGCGUUGUCCGGAUUUAUUGGGCGUAAAGCGAGCGCAGGCGGAAAAAUAAGUCUAAUGUGAAAGCCCUCGGCUUAACCGAGGAACUGCAUCGGAAACUGUUUUUCUUGAGUGCAGAAGAGGAGAGUGGAACUCCAUGUGUAGCGGUGGAAUGCGUAGAUAUAUGGAAGAACACCAGUGGCGAAGGCGGCUCUCUGGUCUGCAACUGACGCUGAGGCUCGAAAGCAUGGGUAGCGAACAGGAUUAGAUACCCUGGUAGUCCAUGCCGUAAACGAUGAGUGCUAAGUGU